Juglans microcarpa x Juglans regia is the source of this 1925-nucleotide long non-coding RNA. RefSeq lists it as uncharacterized. NCBI's taxonomy places the organism in Eukaryota, Viridiplantae, Streptophyta, Magnoliopsida, Fagales, Juglandaceae. The record is from RefSeq and is a predicted model, not a curated record. The transcript has 7 exons.
AAACCAUCGAAGUAGUGAGACCCAGCCCCAACACCUCUCUCUCCCUCUAUUUCCAUCAUCUUGACCUCAACCUGAUCUGCGAUUUCUAGCUAAAUUUGUCGUUUCUCUUCUUGAUCUCCCCCACCGCGCCUUAGAAACUGUAGUUUCGGUAGUGUUCUCUCUCUGUCUCUCUCCACCCUCCACCGUCCAUGGCUAGAGAAGCUGCCUAGCUCUGACUUAGUUUUUUUUUUCUUUUUUUUUUUUGUUUUAAUUUGUUCCAGUCAAUUUUUGGUUAGAAUUGUUCUAUGAUUUUCUGUUUCUGAGUCUGGGUUUAAUUAUUGGUUUUUCUUGAGUAGGGUGUUGGAGGCCCUGAUGGCUGAAGCCUCUCUGCUCAGUGAGAAUUUCUUUGUUCAAUGCAAAGUUACAUGCAAAUUUCCACUAAGAGCAGUUUCAUAAAUGGGUUUAGAUUUUUUUUCCUUGCAUGUCGUGGUUUUCUGCAACGUUAGGUUUAUCUUUACUCAAAUAUUUCCUUCUAAGACCCUCAUUUUCUUAGUUUCUUAUAAUUUUAAUUUUCAAGGUGUCUACGAGAGGGACACAAAGAAAACCCUCGUCGAUCUCAAUUGCAGUAGAUCUCCGUCACUGGUUGCUUUGGGCUAAUGUUGCGAAUCUGGUUGUGAAUAUAUAUGAUGUUGAAUCUGGGUUAGAGCAUGACGAGAGCGAGAUUUCAGUCAAGAUGAGCUUUUACUCAAUAGUCGAGAUCAGCCAUGAUUAAAUUGGUUUUUUUUUUUAAAAAAUGGCAUGAUUACUAUGAAAAAUAUAACCUUAUUCUUGUAUUUAAUGUGAUAUGUCCUGGGGUGCCAAUUGUAUAUUUUAAUGUAAAAAAAAAAUUUGGAUGGGUUUUUCUUGCUUAAGCAAGUUACAAUAUUAAUAGUUGUUUCUUUAUUAAUUUAAUUUUAAUUCGUGUGGAGAAAAAGAUGGAGCGAAAGAGUUUUAACUAAAAUAAUUAAGUAAGGAUUUAUUCUAAUUAAGAAAAUGGUGUCUCUUUUCAUCUUGUAUUAAGUUUAUAUGUGCUUGAGAAAGUUGUUCCCAUGUUGAUAUGCAUGUGUAUGAUGACAAGGCACAUUUGCCUCCCAUAUUCAGAGGCAACAGGGUUUAAAAGCUUCAGUUAUAAUCAUUCGUAAUGGUAAAUCGGGUGUAGCAGCUGCACAUAUCCUCAAUGAUGCAUCAUUUAAGGUGAUCAUAUGUAAUCUUGCUAGAAUCAAAGGAUAUAUUUGGCAGUCGUAUUCAUACAGACUACUCAUUUGGUUAUCCAGUAGAAAUGAGAGCAUCAUGCCUGAUAUUACCGUUCUUCAAUAUCAAAAUCAAAAGCUUGUACAAAAGUUAGAAGCCCAGAAGGUAAGAGUAUUUUUUCAAAUAAAUUCUCUCAACUAAAGCAAACACAACAACCGUUUGAUUUGACAUUAGCAAUGGUCAAUAAGUCAUUAAAUAAGCUUGUGAAUGAUUUGGAAUCAUUUUUUAUCUGUACAAGAGAUUCAAGUAGUGAACGAGAUGGCAAACAUAUGCUAGUUAUGGACGUCUAUCAGCAUUAAUGAGUUCUUGAAGCUUGCUCAAGGAGAAAGGUACUACAACCCAAGUAGUCUUGGCAGCAUCAUUCUGGGAGAAUAUUGCAACACAACUUCCCAAAAAGAUCGGAUGAUUCAACUUGGUGCAAAUAUAGAUUAACUCAAGCAUCAGUACAAAAAAUUCAAUAUCCUCUCAAUAAAUCCUGCAGAAAAGUGCACAACAUGCGAGAUUAUGUAUUGAACUAUGGUUCAUAUAUGAUUUGUGUACCAUUUUAGUUUGGAAAUUUGUAUCAAACACAGUUGACAUUAAGCAUGUAUGGUACUUUAUUUUGUAAACUUUUAUCAAACUUUGUUUUUGUUUUUAUGCAUUAAAUUAUUUAUUAA